This 87-nucleotide transfer RNA is filed under the name Gemmatimonadota bacterium. RNAcentral's name for it is "tRNA-Ser". It matches the Rfam family "tRNA". Rfam says of the family: Transfer RNA (tRNA) molecules are approximately 80 nucleotides in length. The record is from RNAcentral. RNAcentral also lists the same sequence under 1 other name. Lineage: Bacteria; Pseudomonadati; Gemmatimonadota.
GGACAGGUGUCCGAGUGGCUGAAGGAGCCGGUCUCGAAAACCGGUAAACCCGUAAGGGUUUCGAGGGUUCGAAUCCCUCCCUGUCCG